GGCCCUUUGUGUAAUAGUUGAAAAUAGGGGGUCUGGCCUGCCCGGUGGCCCAUUGGGUUAAACGGCCGCGGUAUCUUGACCGUGCAAAGGUAGCGUAAUAAUUUGCCUAUUAAUUGUGGGCUAGUAUGAAUGGCUUGACGAGGGUGAGACUGUCUCUUGGCGGGUAUAUGGAAUUUAAUUUUUAGGUGAAAAGGCCUGAAUGUUAUUAAGGGACGAGAAGACCCUAUCGAGCUUUAGUUUAAAUUCUGAGGAUAAUAAGCUAUGUUUAUAUUUUAUGUUUUCAGGAGGAAUCUUUGAUUGGGGCGAUCGGAAAGAAUGAAAAACCUUUCAGUAAAGUUGAUGGUUUAUAGACAAAGGAUCUGGUGUAUGUGUAUAGAUAAAAAGAAUAAGUUACCGUAGGGAUAACAGCGUAAUUCUUUUGGAGAGUUCUUAUUGAGAAAAGAGUUUGCGACCUCGAUGUUGGACUAAGAUAGCCAAAUGGUGUAGAGGCUAUUAGGGUUGGUCUGUUCGACCAUUAAAAUCUUACAU
RNAcentral lists this ribosomal RNA (528 nucleotides) under Fissurella barbadensis. Its description in RNAcentral is "partial 16S ribosomal RNA". It matches the Rfam family "Bacterial large subunit ribosomal RNA", at positions 1816 to 2601 of the family's 2925-position model. The record is from RNAcentral. Lineage: Eukaryota; Metazoa; Mollusca; Gastropoda; Lepetellida; Fissurellidae.